GGAGGUUAGUGCAAUGGCAUAAGCCAGCUUGACUGCGAGCGUGACGGCGCGAGCAGGUGCGAAAGCAGGUCAUAGUGAUCCGGUGGUUCUGAAUGGAAGGGCCAUCGCUCAACGGAUAAAAGGUACUCCGGGGAUAACAGGCUGAUACCGCCCAAGAGUUCAUAUCGACGGCGGUGUUUGGCACCUCGAUGUCGGCUCAUCACAUCCUGGGGCUGAAGUAGGUCCCAAGGGUAUGGCUGUUCGCCAUUUAAAGUGGUACGCGAGCUGGGUUUAGAACGUCGUGAGACAGUUCGGUCCCUAUCUGCCGUGGGCGCUGGAGAACUGAGGGGGGCUGCUCCUAGUACGAGAGGACCGGAGUGGACGCAUCACUGGUGUUCGGGUUGUCAUGCCAAUGGCACUGCCCGGUAGCUAAAUGCGGAAGAGAUAAGUGCUGAAAGCAUCUAAGCACGAAACUUGCCCCGAGAUGAGUUCUCCCUGACCCUUUAAGGGUCCUGAAGGAACGUUGAAGACGA
This 512-nucleotide ribosomal RNA is filed under the name Escherichia coli. RNAcentral's name for it is "partial 23S ribosomal RNA". It matches the Rfam family "Bacterial large subunit ribosomal RNA", at positions 2341 to 2847 of the family's 2925-position model. The record is from RNAcentral. Lineage: Bacteria; Pseudomonadati; Pseudomonadota; Gammaproteobacteria; Enterobacterales; Enterobacteriaceae.